Eptesicus fuscus (big brown bat) is the source of this 455-nucleotide long non-coding RNA. RefSeq lists it as uncharacterized. The record is from RefSeq and is a predicted model, not a curated record. Lineage: Eukaryota; Metazoa; Chordata; Mammalia; Chiroptera; Vespertilionidae. The transcript has 4 exons.
GCCAUUUUGUCUGGGCAGCGGUGGCCGCAGGUCUAUCGCAUUUCAUGUUUCUGGCGAGAGGACAGCGAUGUCUUUCUACCGUAGAUCCUUUUCAGUGCGGUACCCGUCCGCGGUUCUCCCCAGGACAGCACCUAAGUGAAGGUCGGAGGAGUCGCGAGUCUGCUUAAAAGGGAACUUUCCAGGGGGUAAUCACCUCUAAUUUCACUACACAGCUUUCAGCUGUUACUCCCCAAAUAACACAUCAGAGGGCAUUUGGAAAUUACUAAAAAGCCAAAAGAAGAGCACCACAAUCUUUGUAUUCCCUCCACCAAAAGAAAGCAUUGGAAACAGAAAAUAUUGUGUCCUUAAAGCAUUUUUAUGGCUGCAUAGUAUUCUGCAAGCUUCAUUUUGUGGAAAAAUGAAGGAAGGUAUUCCAGUUUUUAAAUACCUAGAUUUGCUACCUGUUGAAAAUUAUG